UUCAGAAGGGGCUGGAGGGGAGAGAUUGAAUUAGAAUGAUCUCAUUUGCAUUUUUAAAGAAAUCAUGCCUCCUCUCCAGCUUUCUCCACUGUCACCCUUCUUUUCUCUUAAAUCUAGGCUGACAUCCGAGGUUCAGGAGGGCUCUGAGCACAAAAAAAGCAGCAGACGUGGGAAGGAUGCUUAACCUUUUGUUGCCAAGGAGCCAGCACCGAUCUGACAGCGUGAGAUGCUGCAAGGAGUAAAGCAGCAACUCAGUGACUUGUGACUAACCAG
Molecule: long non-coding RNA, 273 nt
Filed under: Gallus gallus (chicken)
Lineage: Eukaryota; Metazoa; Chordata; Aves; Galliformes; Phasianidae
Description: long non-coding RNA NONGGAT004858
Source: RNAcentral